CCUCAAAUCAGGUAGGACUACCCACUGAACUUAAGCAUACUAAAACGGCGGGGGG
This 55-nucleotide ribosomal RNA is filed under the name Amanita sinensis. RNAcentral's name for it is "partial 28S ribosomal RNA". The record is from RNAcentral. Lineage: Eukaryota; Fungi; Basidiomycota; Agaricomycetes; Agaricales; Amanitaceae.